GACGAACGCUGGCGGCGUGCUUAACACAUGCAAGUCGAACGGAAAGGCCCUGCUUUUGUGGGGUGCUCGAGUGGCGAACGGGUGAGUAACAAGUGAGUAACCUGCCCUUGACUUUGGGAUAACUUCAGGAAACUGGGGCUAAUACCAGAUAGGAGCUCCUGCUGCAUGGUGGGGGUUGGAAAGUUUCGGCGGUUGGGGAUGGACUCGCGGCUUAUCAGCUUGUUGGGGGGGUAGUGGUUUACCAAGGCUUUGCCGGGUAGCCGGCCUGAGAGGGUGACCGGCCACAAUGGUACUGAGAGACGGCCCAGUCGCCUACGGUGGGCAGCAGUGGGGAAUAUUGCACAACGGGCGGAAGCCUGAGGCAGCGACGCCGCGUGCGGGAUGACGGCCUUCGGGUGGGAAACCGCGUUCGCCUGUUACGAAGCGUGAGUGACGGUAAUGGGUAAAGAAGCACCGGCUAACUACGUG
Molecule: ribosomal RNA, 468 nt
Filed under: uncultured bacterium
Lineage: Bacteria
Description: partial 16S ribosomal RNA
Rfam family: Bacterial small subunit ribosomal RNA
Source: RNAcentral